This 89-nucleotide transfer RNA is filed under the name Chelatococcus composti. RNAcentral describes it as "tRNA-Ile". The record is from RNAcentral. Lineage: Bacteria; Pseudomonadati; Pseudomonadota; Alphaproteobacteria; Hyphomicrobiales; Chelatococcaceae.
CGCCUCCUGGUCGAUGGAGGGCACGCGUUUCUGAUGGAGGUGCAGGAGAAGGCGGUGUUCAACUCGACGUUCUGGGCCGCCGGCGCCGG